RNAcentral lists this ribosomal RNA (1100 nucleotides) under Enterococcus faecium. RNAcentral describes it as "bacterial SSU rRNA". It matches the Rfam family "Bacterial small subunit ribosomal RNA", at positions 59 to 1133 of the family's 1533-position model. Lineage: Bacteria; Bacillati; Bacillota; Bacilli; Lactobacillales; Enterococcaceae. The record is from RNAcentral.
CAGUCGACGCUUCUUUUUCACCGGAGCUUGCUCCACCGGAAAAAGAAGAGUGGCGAACGGGUGAGUAACACGUGGGUAACCUGCCCAUCAGAAGGGGAUAACACUUGGAAACAGGUGCUAAUACCGUAUAACAAUCAAAACCGCAUGGUUUUGAUUUGAAAGGCGCUUUCGGGUGUCGCUGAUGGAUGGACCCGCGGUGCAUUAGCUAGUUGGUGAGGUAACGGCUCACCAAGGCCACGAUGCAUAGCCGACCUGAGAGGGUGAUCGGCCACAUUGGGACUGAGACACGGCCCAAACUCCUACGGGAGGCAGCAGUAGGGAAUCUUCGGCAAUGGACGAAAGUCUGACCGAGCAACGCCGCGUGAGUGAAGAAGGUUUUCGGAUCGUAAAACUCUGUUGUUAGAGAAGAACAAGGAUGAGAGUAACUGUUCAUCCCUUGACGGUAUCUAACCAGAAAGCCACGGCUAACUACGUGCCAGCAGCCGCGGUAAUACGUAGGUGGCAAGCGUUGUCCGGAUUUAUUGGGCGUAAAGCGAGCGCAGGCGGUUUCUUAAGUCUGAUGUGAAAGCCCCCGGCUCAACCGGGGAGGGUCAUUGGAAACUGGGAGACUUGAGUGCAGAAGAGGAGAGUGGAAUUCCAUGUGUAGCGGUGAAAUGCGUAGAUAUAUGGAGGAACACCAGUGGCGAAGGCGGCUCUCUGGUCUGUAACUGACGCUGAGGCUCGAAAGCGUGGGGAGCAACCAGGAUUAGAUACCCUGGUAGUCCACGCCGUAAACGAUGAGUGCUAAGUGUUGGAGGGUUUCCGCCCUUCAGUGCUGCAGCUAACGCAUUAAGCACUCCGCCUGGGGAGUACGACCGCAAGGUUGAAACUCAAAGGAAUUGACGGGGGCCCGCCCAAGCGGUGGAGCAUGUGGUUUAAUUGGAAGCAACGCGAAGACCCUUACCAGGUCUUGACAUCCUUUGACCACUCUAGAGAUAGAGCUUCCCCUUCGGGGGCAAAGUGCCAGGUGGUGCAUGGUGGUCGUCAGCUCGUGUCGUGAGAUGUUGGGUUAAGUCCCGCAACGAGCGCAACCCUUAUUGUUAGUUGCCAUCAUUCAGUUG